RNAcentral lists this long non-coding RNA (1291 nucleotides) under Oryctolagus cuniculus (rabbit). RNAcentral describes it as "lncRNA (ENSOCUG00000037523.1)". Lineage: Eukaryota; Metazoa; Chordata; Mammalia; Lagomorpha; Leporidae. The record is from RNAcentral.
GGCAUGGGGAUCCUUAUGGAGAAGGUGAUUGGGUCGGUUGUCCUUGAAAGCAUGCUUAGGGAGUAGGGUUUCUUGAGACAAAGAGAGGCCAUGUUGGGACUGGAGGCCAAGGCAAGGUACUUAGACAUAUUAUUAGAUUGUCCAGAAAAACAUCUGUCCAGCAUAUAAAUGUAGGAUAGAUUCAAAGCAUCACAUUUACAAAGCUAGUAACAUGGUGACUACAAUGGCAAUGACACAACAACAGUUAGGAAAUACAGAAAAAGGAAAAAGGCAAGUUGUGUUAAUGUACCUAUUUUGCCAUUAACAGGUCUAUCAGGUUGACUAUAAAAAUAACACACAACUAGCUAUUUUUGAAAUAUGAAAUCAUGCACAGUACUUGUGCGCUGGCUUAUUUAUUUUACUUCAGAUAAAGUAGAUUUAAAACUAGGCUAGCAGAAGCCAACAAAUGACCAAAAUAGACCUCGACUGUAAGUGAAAUAAACUGUAACUACAACAUUGAGCCCAUAAUCUUAGUAGUAAAAUAAAAUGAAGUGGAAGAAGCCAUAUUGUAAUAGCAAUUUAAUAUUCAACAGAUUGUAAAGUGAACCUAGGAGGAAUCAUCAUACAAGCAAGAAGAAAAUUACUACUCAAUAUAAUCUGCCAUGAGACACAUUCAUGGUCACCCAGAGAGCCUCAGAAAUCUGAAUUGUGAAUCUCUUUAAAAUGACGGCUGUGCUCUAGCAGUACUUAAUUCAUUUUUUCAGGUUUUCCAGAGCAGAAGGCGCAGUAUCUGCUUCAAACCCGGCUCACACUGAGGAUGAACAACCUGGGUUACCUGGAUUACAAGAGAAAAGGAGGCUGCAUAAACGUCUUCCUGAGUCUCAUUUUCUGGGAAGAGUCACCAGGCAGCAAUGAGAAGAUUUCUCCUGGAUAACAGCAGGGAUGCUCUAAGUGGAGCUCCAUAUCACCAGCUCAUGGUUCAUAAGAGGCAAUCAAGAAAUCAGGGCAGCUUCCAUGCCCUAGGUCCAUUUUCCUUAGGAGGGCUUCUUUCCUAUACAUAGUGCAUUUGAACCUUGAAGAGAAAGCACGCAGAAGAUCACAGUCAGCAUCAUAGUUCCAUCUAGCCACUUUUUUUUCCCCACAGGUAAGAAACUUUAAGGUUGGAGACAUUAAAUUUCUUUAAGGUCACAUACUAAUUUUUACUUAUUUAUUUGACAGACAGUGAGACAGAGAGAAAGGUCUUCCUUCCAUUGGCUCACUCUCCAAAUGGCCACUAAGGCCGGCACUGCACCCAUCUGAAGCCAGGAGCCAG